RNAcentral lists this ribosomal RNA (1435 nucleotides) under uncultured organism. Its description in RNAcentral is "partial small subunit ribosomal RNA". It matches the Rfam family "Bacterial small subunit ribosomal RNA". The record is from RNAcentral.
UGCGGCGUGCUUAACACAUGCAAGUCGAACGGAAAGGCCCUGCUUUUGUGGGGUGCUCGAGUGGCGAACGGGUGAGUAACACGUGAGUAACCUGCCCUUGACUUUGGGAUAACUUCAGGAAACUGGGGCUAAUACCGGAUAGGAGCUCCUGCUGCAUGGUGGGGGUUGGAAAGUUUCGGCGGUUGGGGAUGGACUCGCGGCUUAUCAGCUUGUUGGUGGGGUAGUGGCUUACCAAGGCUUUGACGGGUAGCCGGCCUGAGAGGGUGACCGGCCACAUUGGGACUGAGAUACGGCCCAGACUCCUACGGGAGGCAGCAGUGGGGAAUAUUGCACAAUGGGCGGAAGCCUGAUGCAGCAACGCCGCGUGCGGGAUGACGGCCUUCGGGUUGUAAACCGCUUUCGCCUGUGACGAAGCGUGAGUGACGGUAAUGGGUAAAGAAGCACCGGCUAACUACGUGCCAGCAGCCGCGGUGAUACGUAAGGUGCGAGCGUUGUCCGGAUUUAUUGGGCGUAAAGGGCUCGUAGGUGGUUGAUCGCGUCGGAAGUGUAAUCUUGGGGCUUAACCCUGAGCGUGCUUUCGAUACGGGUUGACUUGAGGAAGGUAGGGGAGAAUGGAAUUCCUGGUGGAGCGGUGGAAUGCGCAGAUAUCAGGAGGAACACCAGUGGCGAAGGCGGUUCUCUGGGCCUUUCCUGACGCUGAGGAGCGAAAGCGUGGGGAGCGAACAGGCUUAGAUACCCUGGUAGUCCCACGCUGUAAACGGUGGGUACUAGGUGUGGGGUCCAUUCCACGGGUUCCGUGCCGUAGCUAACGCUUUAAGUACCCCGCCUGGGGAGUACGGCCGCAAGGCUAAAACUCAAAGGAAUUGACGGGGCCCCGCACAAGCGGCGGAGCAUGCGGAUUAAUUCGAUGCAACGCGUAGAACCUUACCUGGGUUUGACAUGGAUCGGGAGUGCUCAGAGAUGGGUGUGCCUCUUUUGGGGUCGGUUCACAGGUGGUGCAUGCCUGUCGUCAGCUCGUGUCGUGAGAUGUUGGGUUAAGUCCCGCAACGAGCGCAACCCUUGUUCACUGUUGCCAGCACGUUAUGGUGGGGACUCAGUGGAGACCGCCGGGGUCAACUCGGAGGAAGGUGGGGAUGACGUCAAGUCCUCAUGCCCCUUAUGUCCAGGGCUUCACGCAUGCUACAAUGGCUGGUACAGAGAGUGGCGAGCCUGUGAGGGUGAGCGAAUCUCGGAAAGCCGGUCUCAGUUCGGAUUGGGGUCUGCAACUCGACCUCAUGAAGUCGGAGUCGCUAGUAAUCGCAGAUCAGCAACGCUGCGGUGAAUACGUUCCCGGGGCUUGUACACACCGCCCGUCAAGUCAUGAAAGUUGGUAACACCCGAAGCCGGUGGCCUAACCGUUGUGGGGGAGCCGUCGAAGGUGGGACUGGUGAUUAGG